UCUUGAUUCGGUGAGAUAGGGAGGAGGAAGGUCUCGUAAUUUGGGUUACUGUGUAGGUGGCCUCUUUCAUCUAUUCAUAACAAAGCUGAGCAGCCUGCUGUUGCCGCCGCGGCCGCCACCAUCGCCCCUUGGCUCUCCCGGGGCUCCCGGGGCGCGCUAGCAGUACGCCGAGCGGGCUCCCGCGCCCGCCCGUCCGCCCGCGGGGCUGCUCCAACGCUCGGGUUUUGUUUACGAGAGCAGCCUGGGGAUACGCAAUGCACGGGGAGCCAGAACCCAGGGCGCCGAGGGUUUGCAGCUGAGGCCCAGGGCUCAGGCCACAGGGAGGCUGCGGGGAGGCUGACAGGUGUGGAGCGGCGGGAGGGAGGCCCAGGGGAGGCGCGCGGGAGACGUGGACGAGCCGGGGAGGCUCAGGGGACCAAGGCGUCCCUGCCACAGCGGUUGGGUUUCCCCUGGUCACAGGAGUGAGGUGAGGAAAAGGCAGGCGCCAAGACUCCGCUUCUGGACAAUCCCCGGGGCCAGAGCUCCCAUAUUUGAAAAGGUUCUCUCAUCUCCCUUGGCAACGGAGUCCCAGGCUCUCAGACCUAGUGCUUAGAAAGUUCUACUCCUCAUCUAACCUUAAUGAUCCUGGCUAACGUUUAUUGAGCACUUACUGUGUGCCGGGUGCUGUUCCAAAUUUACCACAUGGACUAAGACUCAUUUAAUACCCUAAUAACCCUUUUAAUUAGUGACUGUUAUUAUCACUCCCGUUUAGCAGUGAGAAUGAUCAUGGAGAGGUUAUGGAAUUCCGCGGGGGUCCUAAUGCUGGUUUGACAGUGGAGGUGAGAUUCGAAUCCCUAUCUAGCCCCAGGGCCCUUUCUUUACGCAUCCCGCCCUAGCGGAGCGCCACCUGUGGCCCAUUCGAUACCGCUGCGAGAUCAUCCUCCGCAGGUGAGAACUGAAAAGGUCCCCAAGUUAAAUGCUCCAACCUGCCCUGCCCAGCCCAGCCUUCUAAUCUUAGAGCCAGGUACCCUAUUUCCCUAGAGGCUCUCCCUCUGUCUCAUCCUUUCCCACUUCUUUUCUUUGGACCCUCCGAGGUCUCCCCACCUCACCCAGGGGUGCCUCCAAAGCCAGCAAGAAUUUGUGAAGCCCGGCGAAUGUCUGAAUCAUUGCACACCUGGGUGUCCGUUCAUGAUUUCGCAGGAGGGGCUUCCUAGAGGAGACACGAGUGCCUCCCAGCUUCCUGAGGCGGCCGAUGGCAUCACCAGCACACUUAGAGUCUGGCAGAUGAUCCAGAUGGUGUACCUGAGGACCCUGAUGCAUCCUUGCAAACAGAUCUCUGUCCCCUCCCUGAGUAUUUCCAGACCAGAGGGCCCAGGGAGAGUUACUGGUUGCAUCCCCUCUCUCCCUUCCAUUCCUGGUUCCCCAACUCUAGAUGGAAUCUGUCUCAGGGGGGACGGGGUAAGUGGGCUUCCUCCAGAUGCUGAGCCUUCUUGAAGGAACGGCUGUUGCAGGUUUUCAACGUCUACAGCAGUGCAUCGCGUCCCCGCCCCGUGCUGAGGGAUAAGGCAGGAGAAGGAGCUCUGAGAGGCUGGAGGAGCUGAGGGUGAGGUGAGGUAAGAAGCAGAAGAGAAAGAAAAGUUUCUGCCCUUGACGUGCAGUGGAAGGAUCGGAUCACUCCAGCGGCGGCUCUCCUGUUCUGGAUUCAGAGUGGUCAUCGAUCCCUUCGUAAUUUCCUCGUUUGAAACUGGAAUCAUCAGGCCUCACUCCCCCAAUCCCUGCCCACCAGAAAUAUUUUAAGAACUUCUGCACGGCUGGAAAUGGGGAAAGCGGUACGUGAGAGACAUCUGCAGGAGCUCACAGAAGCCGUCACCGCAUAGUAGGGCAUUUACGUGCUGGCAGUUUGACAAUUUUCCCUGUGAGCGAUGAAGAAGGCGAUGAUCUCCACCGCUGUCAUGAACCGGCUGUGGCAGUGUUGUUAUGUGCUGAGAAGCAACAGUUCAAUUCCAUUCCGGAGAUAGUUUUACUUCACUCGUAACCAAGCAAUUUCUCUAAGUCCUGCCGAGUUGGUACAAUCAGUGGCCAACCAUCUUGGGAGCUAUUUGGAUUAAGCAUACUCUAUGGGGCAGCAUUUUGAUCACUACUCAAUUCAUUGCUGCCUCGUUUUGAGAAAGAGACGUCUUAAAAAUACUACCAGCAAGAAGUAUAAAUGGCUUUGAUGGCUACAGUUUCUCACCAUUCCACGGGACCAUAAGCCCCACUCUUGAAAGCACGCUGCUUUUUCUUCCCAUUUAAUUGGAUGCAGGCGCCCAUGGUGAAAGAAAUCAGAAUCUGUGCCUACUUUUUGGCAUGAAAAAUGCAGGAGACUAGGAAGCACAUAAAUGCAUUCUUUGCUGAUUCUACCCCAUUUUGUACAAACAUGUUUGCCCCUUUCCAAUUUUCCUGUGUACUAAAGCUCCACCUUCAGGACGCAAGUUCACAUUUGAAAAGUGUGGGAAACACGAACAACAAAAAUAAAUAUUUAAGCAUGUGGAUUCUGUCUUUGAUGGCUUGCUCCUGGACGCUGGCGUCUGGCCAAGGGGGCAAGUCCCAUUGGCAACAAAGCUUUCCUCUCCAACUGAUGGAGCCCAUCCUGGUGGGCGUCACUCGUGGCACAUUCGGAACUCCUUGUAACACAACUGGCUGAAACCCAGAGAAAAAGAAGAUGGUGCAGAUUUAUCCUCCAGACAGAGGCCUGCUACCACGGAAACAGGCAGUUCAGACUGAUUCCGAGCAGUUUUAUUUGUAGCAUUCAGUAGAUGGGAAAGUCUUCAUAAUGAGAAAAUAUCAACUCCCUCAGGCAUCUAAGGCAAUCUGGGUUAACCAGACCAUCCACAAUCAGACUCAUUUCUGCUGGACAGGACUUUAUAGAUUCAGUGGUUUCCUGCUGAGGCUCAGGACAUUAAGAGCUGCUCGGUAGGCGAUUGGUCACAGUCACAAGAUGGCUAUCACUGGUGUUUUCAGUUUUCUUUCUGACUUAAAAAAAUUAUUUGACAGUGAUCUGUAGGGAUGACUGGGCUGGCAGAGAUCAAAAGCAACUAAGAUACUAGUUCUAGUGGUCAACGAAUUCUCUGCCUUGUACAAGGAGCUACAACCCCUUGGCAGCAUUUGGGAAAUGCCCAGUGGGUCGAAUAGUACCAGUGUUGUCCUUCUAGGACUUAAAACAGGCCACUUCCCUCUCCACAGCUUUGCUCAAAUCUAUGUGGUCUUCCGCAUCCAGGCCCUUAUCAAAGCUCCCAGCCCCUUUUGGUGACUGGCAGGAAAAAGAAAUGAGCCAGCCUCCUUUCCCCGUCUGCUGAUGAGUAGAUGGUUGACAGCAGAUAAGAUGAAGGGCCAUUUAAUAAGUUUGAAUUGACGCCGAGAGACGAGUUGAAUGCAACUCAAUCACCAUGAAAAGUCAGUCAAAUGCAGCACAGUUAAGAUGUGACUGAAGGAACACAAUGCUUGUCUUCUUGCCCACCCAACAGGGCCCCAGGCAAGUGUUGAGCAUUCUUAUGCUUGGCGACACUGCCCCAUGCCUUUGGUUAAAGUGAUGGAACUCUGGUUGACCCCAAACAUUACUGUUGUCCUCUUUCCUGUGUCAUAGCUUGCUUAAUAGUUCAUGGUCAUUUACCAGCAGAGUUGCAACGGUAGAUGGGAGAAUGGGUUGGAGGUACAAAUAAACAAUUCUUUACUCAA
Molecule: long non-coding RNA, 3693 nt
Organism: Felis catus (domestic cat)
Lineage: Eukaryota; Metazoa; Chordata; Mammalia; Carnivora; Felidae
Exons: 2
Source: RefSeq, a predicted model, not a curated record